AUUUUCUUUUCAAUUAUUGAAGCAAAAUUUAAAGUAAAUUCCUUUCUUAGGAAUAUAUACUUUAGACUUUUGCAGUGAAAUAGCAUAACUUGUUAUAUUCUUUAUAUAGAAUCUAAAUGCUUGUUGAUGGUUCUUUUUAGUUUAUAUAUGAUAAAGUGGUAUGUCGUAACCUAUUUACAUUUGCGACAUCAAUGACAGGCCUUGUGGUAACUAUUGUCUUUUUCUUAUCCGGUUACUUUUGCCUGAUCUGUUCAACAAGGCUCUCACCAUACUGGUUUUGGUUCUAUCAGCUCAUUGUUUUCCGUUGAAGAUAUGUCUCAGCCUCAUUAAUUAAUUCACUCCAUAUAAUUAAUUUUGUUGCUCAUAUCAUCGAGAAGGAAAUAUUAUUUUCAAUGCCAUUGACAUUUGCGGAUGGGGUCAAGGUAUUUUAGGAAUUUCUACACAAGUAGCUGCAAGGUUAAGAAAGCUCCUAGCUGGGCGGAAGUUGAAGUGAUGAGAUGAAUUGGAGAAGGAAAUACUGAAUGUUAGGGUUAACAUCAGAAGCUACAUGAGAGCAAGCUAAGUAUUAUUGUUCUUCUUUCUGUUUUGAUUCCUUCAGAACACACAUGUUCCCUGAGAACUAAAUUAGGUAGCUUUGCUUUCUAUUCCUCUAUCUCUUUAUUUCCUUCGCUGUUAUCAACUUAUU
This is a long non-coding RNA of Rosa chinensis, 685 nucleotides long. RefSeq lists it as uncharacterized. Lineage: Eukaryota; Viridiplantae; Streptophyta; Magnoliopsida; Rosales; Rosaceae. The record is from RefSeq and is a predicted model, not a curated record. The transcript is spliced from 3 exons.